GCAACAGGGGCCUUCCAGCGGGAGCUGGCCGAUCGGUCAGGAGUGUGCCAGUCCACCCUGAGCCGAGCCAUGCCAGCUGUGUGGGACGGAAUCAUCCGAAUGUCAUCCAGCAUGGUUGGGAACAGGCUGGAGGCUGGCACUGUGCGCGAUGGGUGGCUUCUGGGGGACCGUGGCUACCCCCUAAGAACGUGGCUGAUGACCUGACCCUCUUACAAACCCCAACACCGACCAAGAGAGGAGGUAUAAUGACCUCCAUUCCCGGACGAGAAUAAUUGUGGAGAGGGCAAUCGGCCUGCUGAAGGGACGGUGGCGAUGCCUGGACAGGUCGGGGGGGAUGCUACUGUACAGACCUGAGAAGGUGUGCCACAUUGUGAUGGCCUGUGGCGUCCUCCACAAUGUGGCA
Long non-coding RNA from Gadus macrocephalus (Pacific cod), 403 nucleotides. RefSeq lists it as uncharacterized. The record is from RefSeq and is a predicted model, not a curated record. Lineage: Eukaryota; Metazoa; Chordata; Actinopteri; Gadiformes; Gadidae. The transcript has 3 exons.